AGCAGCCGCGGUAAUUCCAGCUCCAAUAGCGUAUAUUAAAGUUGUUGCAGUUAAAAAGCUCGUAGUUGAAUUUCGGGAUCAGUAGGUUGGUCAUGCCUUCGGUAUGUACUGGUCUCACUGAUUCCUCCCUCUUGAAGAACCGUAAUGUCAUUAAUUUGAUGUUGCGGGGAAACAGGACUGUUACUUUGAAAAAAUUAGAGUGUUUAAAGCAGGCUCACGCUUGAAUACAUUAGCAUGGAAUAAUGAAAUAGGACGUUCGAUCCUAUUUUGUUGGUUUCUAGGAUUGACGUAAUGAUUAAUAGGGAUAGUUGGGGGCAUUAGUAUUCAAUUGUCAGAGGUGAAAUUCUUGGAUUUAUUGAAGACUAACUACUGCGAAAGCAUUUGCCAAGGAUGUUUUCAUUAAUCAAGAACGAAAGUUAGGGGAUCGAAGACGAUCAGAUACCGUCGUAGUCUUAACCAUAAACUAUGCCGACUAGGGAUCGGAUGUUGUUAAUUUUUUAAUGACUCAUUCGGCGCCUUA
This 520-nucleotide ribosomal RNA is filed under the name uncultured Glomeromycotina. Its description in RNAcentral is "SSU rRNA". It matches the Rfam family "Eukaryotic small subunit ribosomal RNA", at positions 569 to 1090 of the family's 1831-position model. The record is from RNAcentral. Lineage: Eukaryota; Fungi; Glomeromycota.